UCGGGAAGAAAUUAUCGGCCA
This 21-nucleotide non-coding RNA is filed under the name Caenorhabditis elegans. The record is from RNAcentral. Lineage: Eukaryota; Metazoa; Nematoda; Chromadorea; Rhabditida; Rhabditidae.